RNAcentral lists this long non-coding RNA (877 nucleotides) under Apis mellifera (honey bee). RNAcentral's name for it is "uncharacterized LOC100578675, transcript variant X3". Lineage: Eukaryota; Metazoa; Arthropoda; Insecta; Hymenoptera; Apidae. The record is from RNAcentral.
GGUCUGCGAGUCCAGGAUCACACAACACCGGAUUAUCUGUAAGCAAAAAACAUCGGAAUAUCGCAAGGGGAAACUCUUCUUUUUUUUAUGAUGUAUCGUCAGCAAGACAAGAUAAAUUAUGAAGAAGAAAACUUCAAUGAAAAUGUCCGAACAAGAGAAAUAACAAAGUUAACUGAAAUAACAGAAUUGAACGUGAUAACGAUAUAUACGAAGCACAUCUGGCACUCCGUGAACAGUACACCGUGUAUUUGCCACGAGUUCCGGCAUCAGAAUACGUAUCCGAUUCGCGCUCACGUCUGCCCAGCAGAGAACGGGAAAUCCACGAAAGUCUCUUUCGGAUAACGUUACUAAACGAUUAUGUGAUGCGUUCAAUUCUUCCAGAGAAGGAAGCCACGUCUAUAAACAGAAAUAUCAUGAUUAUAAAAUGUGGAAAAAUUUAAUUCUUUAACAUUUCAAUAUGUGUUCAAUAAUAAUGAAUAAAUCAAAUAUUGUGAUGAAACUAUACAAUUAUAAUUGAUAAAAAUACGUGUGUGAAUUAAUUUCAUGCAUAUUAUUGUACCUCUGAUGUAUCUUCAAGAGUGGUGAGCUCAUUAUGAGAAAGAUCGAGUACUUUUAGACCAUCAAGACCUCGUAGAUCGCGUUGACCAAUUGUUGGUCCUAAAGCAUUAUGACUUAGAUUCAACCUCUGCAAUUCCUUCAUUCCAAGAAACAAGGAACCAUCCAAGCUUCGUAGCUCGUUAUGCUGAAGUCGCAUAUCUUGAAUAUUUCCGCCUGCCGUUUCAUCUCCUUCCUCUUCCACUAAAUUCUGUAAAAACAAGUCAACCAGGAUAUAAAGUUAUAUAUAUAUUUUGAAUAAUUCUUUAUAUUUGAUUAAAAU